GGAGAGGUGACCGAGCGGCCGAAGGUGCACGAUUGGAAAUCGUGUGUGGUGCAAGCCACCGGGGGUUCGAAUCCCCCCCUCUCCGCCA
This 88-nucleotide transfer RNA is filed under the name Deltaproteobacteria bacterium. RNAcentral describes it as "tRNA-Ser". It matches the Rfam family "tRNA". From Rfam's summary of the family: Transfer RNA (tRNA) molecules are approximately 80 nucleotides in length. Their secondary structure includes four short double-helical elements and three loops (D, anti-codon, and T loops). Lineage: Bacteria; Pseudomonadati; Myxococcota; Myxococcia. The record is from RNAcentral.